Molecule: ribosomal RNA, 522 nt
Filed under: Anthracoidea elynae
Lineage: Eukaryota; Fungi; Basidiomycota; Ustilaginomycetes; Ustilaginales; Anthracoideaceae
Description: LSU rRNA
Rfam family: Eukaryotic large subunit ribosomal RNA
Source: RNAcentral
UUCGGCGUUCCGCAUUAUAAUCUCAAGAAGCGUUAUCCGCGUCGGACCAGGUCAAAGUCUUCUGGAAAGGAGCAUCAUGGAGGGUGAAAAUCCCGUGCAUGACCUGGAGCCACCGAAGUACUGUGAUGCGUUUUUUCUCAGAGUCGAGUUGUUUGGGAAUGCAGCUCAAAAUGGGUGGUAAAUGCCAUCUAAGGCUAAAUACAGGGGAGAGACCGAUAGCGAACAAGUACCGUGAGGGAAAGAUGCAAAGAACUUUGGAAAGAGAGUUAAACAGUACGUGAAAUUGCCAGAAGGGAAGGGUAGGAAGUCAGAGAUGCGGGGGCGCAGUUCAGCUGUGUGUCUUUCGGGACGCCGGUGAAGACUGUGUGACUCUGCAGGCCAACGUCGGUUCUGUGGCGCGGGAAAGCGGGGUUGGGAAUGUGGCAUCUUCUUCGGAAGGUGUGUUUAUAGACCSACUCUUGGACUGGACCAGCGACUGGGACCGUGGUUUUACACAGUGUGAUGCUGUUAGGGGAGCAAUCU